RNAcentral lists this ribosomal RNA (492 nucleotides) under uncultured bacterium. Its description in RNAcentral is "partial 16S ribosomal RNA". It matches the Rfam family "Bacterial small subunit ribosomal RNA", at positions 29 to 507 of the family's 1533-position model. The record is from RNAcentral.
AGUGAACGCUGGCGGUAGGCCUAACACAUGCAAGUCGAACGGCAGCACAGUAAGAGCUUGCUCUUACGGGUGGCGAGUGGCGGACGGGUGAGGAAUACAUCGGAAUCUACUUUUUCGUGGGGGAUAACGUAGGGAGACUUACGCUAAUACCGCAUACGACCUACGGGUGAAAGCAGGGGAUCUUCGGACCUUGCGCGAUUGAAUGAGUCGAUGUCGGAUUAGCUAGUUGGCGGGGUAAAGGCCCACCAAGGCGACGAUCCGUAGCUGGUCUGAGAGGAUGAUCAGCCACACUGGAACUGAGACACGGUCCAGACUCCUACGGGAGGCAGCAGUGGGGAAUAUUGGACAAUGGGCGCAAGCCUGAUCCAGCCAUACCGCGUGGGUGAAGAAGGCCUUCGGGUUGUAAAGCCCUUUUGUUGGGAAAGAAAAGCAGCAGGUUAAUACCCCGCUGUUCUGACGGUACCCAAAGAAUAAGCACCGGCUAACUUCGUG